CGGCGUUUCCGGCGGUCACGCGUUACAUCGCCCCCCGGGGGACUACGCCCGCCAGGUUCCAACUCAUAUGAAUUGCCGGGGGCCCGCCACAAGCGGUGGACCCUGUGGUUUAAUUCGAUGCCAACGCGAAGAACCUUACCUGGUCUUGACAUCCACAGAACUUUCCAGAGAUGGAUUGGUGCCUUCGGGAACUGUGAGACAGGUGCUGCAUGGCUGUCGUCAGCUCGUGUUGUGAAAUGUUGGGUUAAGUCCCGCAACGAGCGCAACCCUUAUCCUUUGUUGCCAGCGGUUAGGCCGGGAACUCAAAGGAGACUGCCAGUGAUAAACUGGAGGAAGGUGGGGAUGACGUCAAGUCAUCAUGGCCCUUACGACCAGGGCUACACACGUGCUACAAUGGCAUAUACAAAGAGAAGCGACCUCGCGAGAGCAAGCGGACCUCAUAAAGUAUGUCGUAGUCCGGAUUGGAGUCUGCAACUCGACUCCAUGAAGUCGGAAUCGCUAGUAAUCGUAGAUCAGAAUGCUACGGUGAAUACGUUCCCGGGCCUUGUACACACCGCCCGUCACACCAUGGGGGUGGGUUGCAAAAGAAGUAGGUAGCUUAACCUUCGGGAGGGCGCUACCACUUAGAUUUAAAGGUC
RNAcentral lists this ribosomal RNA (638 nucleotides) under Klebsiella pneumoniae. Its description in RNAcentral is "bacterial SSU rRNA". It matches the Rfam family "Bacterial small subunit ribosomal RNA", at positions 838 to 1475 of the family's 1533-position model. Lineage: Bacteria; Pseudomonadati; Pseudomonadota; Gammaproteobacteria; Enterobacterales; Enterobacteriaceae. The record is from RNAcentral.